CGUGGCCUGAGCUCCUGGGUGGAGGCUGCUGCUGCUGCUCCUCUGUUCCUACGUUCAGAGUUUCAUCCCCAGAUGGAGGCGAUCUGCUCCACCGUCGACAGAGAAGGAUGAAAAUGACCAAUGGUUCCAACAAAAGCUUGACUGUUUUAGUAAUGAUAGUGGGCAAGUCUGGCAACAGAGGUCUUUCAUGACUGAUGAGUUCCACCAGCCUGGAGGCCCCGUGUUUCUAAUUGUUGGAGGUGAAAGCACUGCUGAGAGAGCUUGGCUGUCCAGGAGAGUUCCCUGAUGGAGAAUGCUAAGAAACUGGGGGGCCCUCUGCUUCUUUGUGGAACACAGAUUUUACAGAAAAAGCAGGCCAACCUUGUACGUUUAUGAGUUUUUGUACUCCUUCUUUAAAUGAAAUAACGCUGACUGUUCAUGUUCUUAAACAUAAUCUCACGUUCAAAGUCUAAACUUGAAAAGACAUUUACAGUGUCAGUGUCAAAAUUCUCUCCUAUUAGCACUGAAAGGACUUGAAAUGAAUGAAAUUUAAACUCUGAAAAUAACCCACCACUCAGAGGCAGUAGUGACCAUUUUAUUAAAAACUGUUUGUCAUAGUUAAGUGUAAUGUCAAAGUUUUGACUCACAGCAACACAGGAGCAGGAUAAAGAGUCUAGUUGUUCAGGAUUUUACUCUUCCAUUCUGGUAUUUUUGUGUAUUGUAUAGUGGGAAAAUUUGAUUUUUAAAAGAACUUACUUAUAAUUAAUAUCAUUAAAUAAAAUCAAACAAAACCAAUUAUAAAGGGCUUCUAAAAGUUGUAAAUAUAUCAAACUUUAGUGCACUGUCUUUAAAUCUCAUUUUAACAAGAAAGCAUGCAUUGCUUUUCAUAACCUCAAGAAUGCUAUUAAUGUCAGUAAAAUGG
This 901-nucleotide long non-coding RNA is filed under the name Homo sapiens (human). Its description in RNAcentral is "HSALNT0047957". The record is from RNAcentral. Lineage: Eukaryota; Metazoa; Chordata; Mammalia; Primates; Hominidae.